ACGCGGGCGGCGUGGCUAAGGCAUGCAAGUCGUACGGGACCUUUGAAGUAGCAAUACGACGAAGGUUUAGUGGCGGACGGGUGAGUAAUACAUGGGUAACGUGCCCUGCACACAGGGAUAGCGGCGCCCCGCAAGGGGCUUUACCGAAAGUGCCGGUAAUACCUGAUGAUAUCCGGGAGUCGCAUGGCUUCCGGGUCAAAGGGUGGGGACCUUCGGGCCUAUCGGUGCAGGAUCGACCCAUGCCCUAUCAGCUAGUUGGUGAGGUAACGGCCCACCAAGGCUUUGACGGGUAGCCGGCGUGAGAGCGCGACCGGCCACAUCGGGACUGAGACACUGCCCGGACACCUACGGGUGGCUGCAGCAACGAAUAUUCCGCAAUGGGCGAAAGCCUGACGGAGCGACGCCGCGUGGAGGAUGAAGUCCUUCGGGAUGUAAACUUCGAUAGUUUGUCAGGAAGUGAGGCGACCUAAUACGUCGUCAAGUUGACCAGCAAACGAAAGGGGUGGCUAACUCCGUGCCAGCAGCCGCGGUAAUACGGAGACCCCUAGCGUUGUUCGGAUUCACUGGGCUUAAAGCGGGUGUAGGCGGAACGGUAAGUACUGAGUGAAAGCCCCGGUCUUAACCCGGGAAUAGCUUGGUAUACUGCCGUUCUUGAGGCAGGUAGAGGUCACUGGAACCUUAGGUGGAGCGGUGAAAUGCGUAGAUGUCUAAGGGAACGCCGGUGGCGAAAGCGGGUGACUGGGCCUGUUCUGACGCUGAGACCCGAAAGCGUAGGUAGCAAACGGGAUUAGAUACCCCGGUAGUCUACGCCGUAAACGAUGCGCACUAGGUACGAGAACUCUGACGGUCCUCGUGCCGCAAGAAAACCGUGAAGUGCGCCGCCUGGGGAGUAC
This 893-nucleotide ribosomal RNA is filed under the name uncultured bacterium. RNAcentral describes it as "bacterial SSU rRNA". It matches the Rfam family "Bacterial small subunit ribosomal RNA", at positions 33 to 883 of the family's 1533-position model. The record is from RNAcentral.